UUGGAUGCUUAUAGAUUCUCCAUUUCUUGGCCAAGGGUAUUACCGAAAGGAAAGCUUUCUGCAGGAGUAAACAAGGCAGGGAUAAACUACUAUAAUAAUCUCAUCAACGAGCUACUGAAGAAUGGUAUGGAACCAUUUGUGACCAUUUUUCAUUGGGACGUUCCCCAAGCCUUGGAGGAUGAGUAUGGUGGCUUUUUAAGUCGUCACAUUGUAGAUGAUUUUAGAGACUUUGCUGAACUGUGCUUCAAGGAAUUUGGUG
RNAcentral lists this small RNA (259 nucleotides) under Vigna angularis var. angularis. RNAcentral's name for it is "Non-protein coding transcript". Lineage: Eukaryota; Viridiplantae; Streptophyta; Magnoliopsida; Fabales; Fabaceae. The record is from RNAcentral.